UUCGACCUCGACUCUUGGCACCAAACCUCGACUGUUGCACCAUCCCCCUGACCAGUAGGACCCCCCCGGGCCCCCCCAGCAGCACCCAUGGCGCAUCAGCCCCCUCCGCCUUCCUCAUCCUCCUCCUCCUGGCCGCCCUCCCAGGGCUGAUGGCGGCCGUGCAGCUGGUGGCGUCCGGAGGGGGCCUCCAGACACCCGGGGGGUCCCUCACCCUCCGCUGCAAGGCCUCCGGCUUCACCUUCAGCAGCUUCACCAUGUUCUGGGUGCGACAGGCCCCCGGGAAGGGGCUCGAGUACGUCGCGAGUGUUUACACUGAUGGUGGCACAGGCUACGCGCCGUCGGUCAAGGGGCGCUUCACCAUCUCCAGGGACAACUCCCAGAGCACGCUCACGCUGCAGAUGAACAGCCUCCGGGACGACGACACGGCCACCUACUACUGCGCGAAAUGUAGUGGUGGUGAUUAUGGUGCUGGUAAUGCUGAUGGUGAUGCUUAUGGUGGUGGCACCAACCCCAGCCCCAUGGAACAACAUCCCUGUGCUGUGUCCCCAGAUCAACAGCUAUUGACCCAAAUCUGAAGCAUUUGCCACAAAACUCGACCACUUUUGCCCCAAAUCUCAACCGGUUGCACCAAACCCUGACCGAUUUCUCACCAGACCUCCAUGGUUUGACCCAACUCUUGACCAUUCGCCCCAAACCUUGACCAUUUGCACCAAAU
This is a non-coding RNA of Chroicocephalus ridibundus (black-headed gull), 715 nucleotides long. NCBI's taxonomy places the organism in Eukaryota, Metazoa, Chordata, Aves, Charadriiformes, Laridae. The record is from the annotation of a RefSeq genome assembly.